RNAcentral lists this ribosomal RNA (497 nucleotides) under uncultured bacterium. Its description in RNAcentral is "partial 16S ribosomal RNA". It matches the Rfam family "Bacterial small subunit ribosomal RNA", at positions 28 to 507 of the family's 1533-position model. The record is from RNAcentral.
GACGAACGCUGGCGGCGUGCCUAAUACAUGCAAGUUGAGCGCUGAAGGUUGGUACUUGUACCGACUGGAUGAGCAGCGAACGGGUGAGUAACGCGUGGGUAAUCUGCCUUUGAGCGGGGGACAACAUUUGGAAACGAAUGCUAAUACCGCAUAAAAACUUUAAACACAAGUUUUAAGUUUGAAAGAUGCAAUUGCAUCCCUCAAAGAUGAUCCCGCGUUGUAUUAGCUAGUUGGUGAGGUAAAGGCUCACCAAGGCGAUGAUACAUAGCCGACCUGAGAGGGUGGUCGGCCACAUUGGGACUGAGACACGGCCCAAACUCCUACGGGAGGCAGCAGUAGGGAAUCUUAGGCAAUGGACGAAAGUCUGACCGAGGAACGCCGCGUGAGUGAAGAAGGUUUUCGGAUCGGAAAACUCUGUUGGUAGAGGAGAACGUUGGUGAGAGGGGAAAGCGCAUCAAGUGACGGUAACUACCCAGAAAGGGACGGCUAACUACGUG